This 3296-nucleotide long non-coding RNA is filed under the name Triticum aestivum (bread wheat). RNAcentral's name for it is "long non-coding RNA (TAES_LNC008733)". The record is from RNAcentral. Lineage: Eukaryota; Viridiplantae; Streptophyta; Magnoliopsida; Poales; Poaceae.
UUACAAGUGUAAUACGGUGGCAAUCACAGUAAUGACUACAAGUGUAAUACAGUACUUUACAAGCUUUACAAGCAAUCACAAACUGGCACCUGCUCCCGUCAUGAACAUGCCAAACUCACAACAUGCCAAACUCGUUGGACUACCAUAGUGAUAUGAACAACAUGCCGAACUAGCUGGACAACCGUAGUUAGGGCUGGGAACAAACAGAACGGCCUUCAAGAAAACAGACAACAUGCCUUCCUCGGUCGCCCUGUUACAUGAAUCAGUAGAGAAGAAUCAAAAAAACUGGGGCAAAUAUAUUAUGAACAGACCAUUCAAGAAAAGGAUAGUUAUUUAGAAUGAUAACACAAAUUGAGCUAGUACCAUGCUUUUUGUUCUCCAGCUAGUUAAAAUGAGAUACUCGUUCAUACAAGAAAGGUGACUCGUGAAAAUAGAGCAUUCUACUCAUAGCUCGCAGAGUAUCAAUAUUCUGUUCUUAUAAGCUUAUUCUUAUGCGUGAAGCAAGUAAGGAAAUCUGACCAAAUAAGCAACACCUCCAUAAACUGAUCAUGACUAAAUGGAGCAGAGGAAGGAAAGGAGCUCUCCAUGGCUGUUUUUGUAGCCGAUGCCGAACAACACAGCUGCCACCACCGUUGCAUGGAAGCAGCAGAAAAGAGGAGCCUGGCAUGACGAACCCCUUGUACCGAAUCAAAUCAUGCUGCACAAGAAGGACAAGAGAAAUAAGAAGAUAAUCUUGAGGUCAAAUCAAAAAUCAGAAAAAUAAAUCAUGGACUCAAGCACAUUCAUACAUAUACUUUAAGUUGUUAAACAGAAUCAUAGAUUCCAUCACGUAAUCCAAAAAAUUUGAACAUAUAUAUAUAUAUGCAUGCUUGUCAAAGUUUCAUUCCAGAGAAUUAAAGUGCUGGGUAAGAAGCCUAAUGUACAAUUGAUACAAGUUAAUACAAGCCUGAUGUACUACUCUGGGUAAGAAGAAGCAUGUACUUUAGUAGUUUUAGCACACUAAUACAUGUGUUAAAAUGGAAGCGUCGCUGCUGGGUUAUAUUAAUAAAUAAUCUAAGUGUUGCAACACCCAACAAGAUUUGCAUGAACAGGUAAAACCUAGCAAGUACUUGUACUGGGAUGUUGUCCAUCCAACAGAGACAACAAACCAGCUUAUCACAAGACUGAUGCUGGACUCCAUUGCCGGAAUCUACAGCUAGGCACUCAAGCUUAAGGGGAUCCUCAUGUGGAUCGAGCCUGCAUGUUAAUCUUUACACUAGCAGGGCCAUUUCUGUUCUCUUUCUUUCUUUGACACCAGUGUCAUGUACUAUACUCAACUGUACUGCAAGUGCCAUGUGCUACUGCAGUUUAGUUGAGUUUUAAGACUAGAACAUGUUAUUGUAACCUUUGCAACUGAAGACACAGAAUAACUAAGUGGAUCAGCAUGAAUGAACAAGCUAAAGGGUCAGUGUCUAAUGUCAGAAUCUACAGCUCAAGAGGAUCCUGUGUGGAUCAAGCCAAAGUGUUAAGGCUACCUUUUACAUCAGUGUCAUGUGCUAUAUUCAAACUGUGCUGCAACUUAGUUGAGUUGCAAGUAGGACUACAGUGAAGAUGCUAUUCUAACUUCUGUGACUGAAGAAAAAGACACCGUAUGUACAUCGUGUUAAACAUUAGUACACAGCGCUGACGCUACUAUACAACCACGAAUUAAAUCACUGGACACCAAGGCCGGAAUGGCGCUAGAGUGGACCAAGCAGUCAAACUGGGACAGAUUGGAUGAUUUUACCCUCGAGUAAUCUAAGCAGCUAGAACCGACAUCCUCCCCCUCUGCACGCUAUCCUCUCUUCACUGUCUAAACCGAACCAUCGUCUUCCUUGACACCCGCAGCACCUCGGUGUACCAUGGUGAUGGCCUGCACAAAUCCCCUGCAUGGAUCAGAUCAGAUCUAAUCAAGAAGAAGCAGAGGAGGGGAGGGGAGGGGAGGAGGGACGAGCAAUCAGUGCAUCAACAAAAUAUGGAACAUCAAGCACAGCAUGACAACUAGAGUAUAUGUAUUGCUGGCUCUUAUUAGUCCACAACCGAGUGGAUUUUCAACCAUACUAUAACUAUCACUCCAUCCAUUAUUUAAACUACCAAAACGUCUUUAUAUUGAGAAACAUAGGUACUGGUUGCAUAUAUAGACUAGUAGCAGUACUAUGUGUGGCAGUUUUAACAAGUCAAAUAAUUUUACUGUAGACAAGUUGCAUAUAUAGACUAGUAGUAGUACUGUAAUCUAACAGUGGCUAAAGCAUACAAGAAACAUAUUGCAGUGUACUCUAGCCCAAACGAAUUCCCACCCAUGCCUUGUUUCAGAUUAGACACUUUCUUACAACUGAAUUCCAGAUACAAUUGGUUUAAGAUCCAGGUGUACUAAUUAAGAAAGAGGCGACAAGUAGCCAUUGCAUGUGACGGCAGGCAGACAGGAAAUGGUUAGGAAGAAGAGGAGCAGUGGAGCAAUGACUGACCCAUUGGAGACCCCGGUCUUGUCCUUCUUGAAGACGACCCCGAAUCCCCGAUGCACUCGCCGUCGACCACAUUGGAGGCACUAACUGGAUACAAACAAGAACAUAAGACAAAUAGUAUAUACAUUAGUAAGAUAAGCAGCUGUAACAUAACAGGAACUGGAACGACGAUUCUCAUUUAAGCAACUGGAGUACCAUUUGUGCACAUGCCGAAACAAUACAUGGAAGUACUAGCAAAACAAUAAACGCAUGGGAGCACUUUGGAAGAUGCGUGCGGCUAGCAUAUGGAGUAAUAAUCUCUAGCUUCAGAUGAACAAUUCUGGGCUUGGGAAUCAGAGAGCUUAAGCGCUGCAAGGUUGGUGUUAGCCCAACUAUAUACUCUGUCAGCUCGAGAACUUGCUCAGUCGAGAUGAAGCAGCGAUUGAACCGGCAAACACAACACACCGCGUCGACACAAAAAUGACUUGCCAGCAUCCAGCAAUUCGAUGCGCGCGCCACAGAUCCGUGCACUCCUGGGACAAUUAGAAGCGCCACACCUUCGUACAGCAGCGAAUUCAGCUGGACCACGGAGCAGAUUCCGAUGCCGCACACACGCGGAGCCCGCAUCUCUAGGCACGCGCGCGCGCGAGGCAGCGGUGACGCGGAGAAGGCACGCCCUGAGGACACGGUGCUGCCUCGGGAGCUGGCCAGAGUGAGGGCCGUCGCGACGGGGAUCGAGUUUCGAAUCAGGCAGAGAGAGGGAGAGGGAGAGAGGGAGGGGGAAGGGGCGCGGACCUCGUCGAGCGUGGCGGGGUCGAGGGGGGCGAGGGAGCCCUU